Molecule: ribosomal RNA, 460 nt
Filed under: uncultured bacterium
Lineage: Bacteria
Description: partial 16S ribosomal RNA
Rfam family: Bacterial small subunit ribosomal RNA
Source: RNAcentral
CCUACGGGUGGCAGCAGUGAGGAAUAUUGGUCAAUGGACGAGAGUCUGAACCAGCCAAGUAGCGUGAAGGCUGACUGCCCUAUGGGUUGUAAACUUCUUUUAUAUGGGAAUAAAAUGUUCCACGUGUGGGAUUUUGUAUGUACCAUAUGAAUAAGGAUCGGCUAACUCCGUGCCAGCAGCCGCGGUAAUACGGAGGAUCCGAGCGUUAUCCGGAUUUAUUGGGUUUAAAGGGAGCGUAGGUGGAUUGUUAAGUCAGUUGUGAAAGUUUGCGGCUCAACCGUAAAAUUGCAGUUGAAACUGGCAGUCUUGAGUACAGUAGAGGUGGGCGGAAUGCGUGGUGUAGCGGUGAAAUGCUUAGAUAUCACGAAGAACUCCGAUUGCGAAGGCAGUUCACUGGACUGCAACUGACACUGAGGCUCGAAAGUGUGGGUAUCAAACAGGAUUAGAUACCCGGGUAGUC